RNAcentral lists this long non-coding RNA (1614 nucleotides) under Piliocolobus tephrosceles (Ugandan red Colobus). RNAcentral describes it as "lncRNA (ENSPTEG00000013204.1)". Lineage: Eukaryota; Metazoa; Chordata; Mammalia; Primates; Cercopithecidae. The record is from RNAcentral.
AAAAACAAACUAUAACAUAAUAACGUAUGCAUAAUAAUGUUUGCAUAAUAAUGUUUGUAUAAUAACGUUUGUAUAAUAACGUUUGCAUAAUAACUUUUGCAUAAUAACUUUUGCAUAAUAACGUGUGCAUAAUAACGUGUGCAUAAUAACGUGUGCAUAAUAAUGUUUGCAUAAUUAGGUUAUAAAAAUGUAUAUAUGUAUAUUUAAGCACCAUUUCUAAAUAUCUAAAUGUUAUCUUUUUAAUUACACUAUUUAUUUAUGUUGUAUAAAAGAGUAACUAAAAUUACUCAGUUUUUUUUUUUUCUAUUCUUUCAUUUUUUUUCAGUUUGCUUUAAUUACAGUGUAGAUAGGAUACGUGUAUAAUAUGAACUUAUGUCAACGCUUCCUUUUUUUUUUUUUUCUUUUUGUUAAGACAAUAUUAUAUAAUGCAAAUUAGAUAUAUAUAUAUAUACAUGCACACACAUAUACAUACGUAAGAUCAGUAACAGUAAUGUAAAGCAUGAAAGACAGUUUGUUAUCCUUUAAGUACUUUUUUUUUUUUGUUAGAAUUAUUUUAAAAUAUUUCCUAAUAUUCAUUGACGGCUUGUUUUUAAUUAAGUUGGCAUAUGGUUCUACAAAGAGCAUACCCUUGAUAACAUGCAUAUUAUGUAUAAUAAUAACAGUUACAUUAAAAAUAAUAAUAACAAUAGUAUUAUAUAAUGUAUAUUACUCAAACGUAUAUAUAUCUAAAAAAUGGAGUAUACAAUAUUUUUUUAAUUCAUUCCUACGGAAUAGUACAAAAGAGUACAUAAAUUCUAGGUCAAUAGAAUCAUCCGAUUUCGAGUAUGAGAAAUUAAUAAAGCAUUUUUUUUUUAAAAGAGUUUACUAUGCAAUAAAAAAACAACAUAAAAAAUUUGAGAUAUGUAUGUUAAAAAUUUAUAACAGUGCAGUACAUUAUUAUUAUUGUAAUAUAAGGGACAUAUUAUAUACAACAUUAUGGUACACUAGUUUAUUUUAUUGGAGAAGAGAUAUAUAUACUAAUUUAUGGGAUUUAAAUUAUGUACCUAAAUAUAUGUAUAAUAUUUUAAUUAUUUUGUUAUCAUGUUCAUAUAUUGAUUUAGCUAUUAUAAUACUUAGCUAUAAAAAUUCUAGUCAAUAUAUAAUGAAAUUUCAAAUCUUAGUUGAUAUAAUUUUUAGUGCACCUAGUAUUUUUUUUUUUUCAGAACAUUUAUUUUUUUAUGAUAAUAAAUUAGAUAUAUUUUUUAUUUUAGGUUGUUUAAAAAAUGUGAAAUUAUUUUUAAAUAUAUCCUAUGCAAUAAUAGAAAAACCUGUAAUUUUUACCAAAACAGAAGUAAAAAUUAUACGAAUUAUUUUAGGAGUAAUAUUAAUAUGUAAUUCAUUUGCUUCAGUAAUGUAUACUAUUCAGUCUACUCAUCCUUAUAAAGUAGUAAAUAAUAACCAUUUUAAAUAUUUUUUAAAUACAUAUAUAGAUUAUAUAUAUUUUUCUAUAAUAUCCAUAUCAACUGUUGGGUAUGGUGAUAUGUUUCCUAGUAAUAAAAUAAGUCAAAUUAUUUGUAUUUUGUAUAUAUUUACUAGUUUUAUUUGGGUUCCUAUCCAAUUGAAUGAUUUAAUAAU